This 252-nucleotide ribosomal RNA is filed under the name uncultured prokaryote. RNAcentral's name for it is "partial 16S ribosomal RNA". It matches the Rfam family "Bacterial small subunit ribosomal RNA", at positions 524 to 775 of the family's 1533-position model. The record is from RNAcentral.
UACGUAGGGUGCAAACGUUGUUCGGAAUCACUGGGCAUAAAGAGCGCGUAGGCGGUCUAAUAAGUCCUGUGUGAAAGCCCCCGGCUUAACCGGGGAAUUGCACCGGAUACUGUUGGACUAGAGUACAGGAGGGGAGAGCGGAAUUCCUGGUGGAGCGGUGAAAUGCGUAGAUAUCAGGAGGAACGCCGGCGGCGAAAGCGGCUCUCUGGCCUGUUACUGACGCUGAGGUGCGAAAGCUAGGGGAGCAAACGG